GCCCACGUGGCGGAAUGGUAGACGCGCUCGUUUCAGGUGCGAGUGUUGAAAGACGUGCAAGUUCGAUUCUUGUCGUGGGCA
This 81-nucleotide transfer RNA is filed under the name Bacteroidaceae bacterium. RNAcentral describes it as "tRNA-Leu". It matches the Rfam family "tRNA". Rfam says of the family: Transfer RNA (tRNA) molecules are approximately 80 nucleotides in length. The record is from RNAcentral. Lineage: Bacteria; Pseudomonadati; Bacteroidota; Bacteroidia; Bacteroidales; Bacteroidaceae. RNAcentral also lists the same sequence under 1 other name.